AUUGAACGCUGGCGGAAUGCUUUACACAUGCAAGUCGAACGGCAGCACGGGAGCUUGCUCCUGGUGGCGAGUGGCGAACGGGUGAGUAACAUAUCGGAACGUACCCAGUCGUGGGGGAUAACUAUCCGAAAGGAUAGCUAGUACCGCAUACGCCCUGAGGGAGAAAGCGGGGGAUCGCAAGACCUCGCGCGAUUGGAGCGGCCGAUAUCGGAUUAGCUAGUUGGUGGGGUAAAGGCUCACCAAGGCGACGAUCCGUAGCGGGUCUGAGAGGACGACCCGCCACACUGGAACUGAGACACGGUCCAGACUCCUACGGGAGGCAGCAGUGGGGAAUUUUGGACAAUGGGGGCAACCCUGAUCCAGCCAUUCCGCGUGAGUGAAGAAGGCCUUCGGGUUGUAAAGCUCUUUCAGCAGGAACGAAACGGUCGGCUUUAAUAAAGUCGGCUAAUGACGGUACCUGCAGAAGAAGCACCGGCUAACUACGUG
RNAcentral lists this ribosomal RNA (486 nucleotides) under uncultured bacterium. RNAcentral describes it as "partial 16S ribosomal RNA". It matches the Rfam family "Bacterial small subunit ribosomal RNA", at positions 30 to 507 of the family's 1533-position model. The record is from RNAcentral.